Molecule: long non-coding RNA, 1286 nt
Organism: Canis lupus familiaris (dog)
Lineage: Eukaryota; Metazoa; Chordata; Mammalia; Carnivora; Canidae
Exons: 3
Source: RefSeq, a predicted model, not a curated record
GUCAAUUAAGAAGCUUCUUAGGCAAGAGUCUGGGCAAGAGGUGAUGAAGGCGUGAGCCUGGGCAGAGGGGGGCUACCCCAUUGGAACCUGGUCUCUAAUGGGAUGUGAUACACAAGAGAGGGACACAGACACACACCCAUGUUCACAGCAGCAUCAUUCACAACAGGCAAAAAAUGGAAGCCACCCAAGUAUCCACCAGCAGAUGAACAGACAAACAAGAUGUGGUAUACACACACAGUGGAACGUCACUCAGCUUUGGGAAGGAAAUUCUGACACAUGCUACAACAUGGAUAAAUCUUGAAAACAUUACGGCAUCAGUUGAGUUCCUAGCCUGUAUAUACCAGAUGCUGGGCCAACUGCUGGGGAUAAAGAUGCAAAGUCCCCAUUCUCCAGGACGGUCCCAUUAUACACCUUGCAAGAUGAGCCAAGUCAUGGAGAGGUGAACCUACAAGUCAAGUUAAUAAAAUAUACUGAUUCAUCGGCCCUGUAAAUAAGCCCAGUCUCCCCAAGGAACUACUGUGACAUGAAUGAAAUCAUCACUUUAUACUAGACAUGAUGCUUCUGGAACAGUGUUUGGUACACCAUUAACUCCCAAUAACUAUCUGUGGAAGUGAAUUUAAAUAAUCAGCUUUUUUCACACCUGCCACAUACUAUACCAUGUGGUUAAGAUUUCCAAUAACAAAGUUUGUAAGAAGGAUUUGAAGAGCAACCCUGAUCAAACACAGAAAAAGUUGUUUUACCCACGUUACACGCUGUACUAUCCUAAAAGACUAGGCCACUCUCUUCUUCCUGGACUUCACAAUCUGUCAAUUGCUUACACUGGUUAAGAACAUCAUCCCUCCCCAUUCUCAGGAGCCUACUAGCCAGAACCUGCCCAUCACUGGACACAAAAUCUGAAAAUGGCAUUUUCAAGUACUUUGUGGAGAAUAUGAUUUAAUGACACUGCUGACAACAGUCACUUUGAGUUGUGUGAUCACAAUAUGCAAAGUAUUUAAAUACAACCAGCUCAUUCCACUUAGACCUUUUCGAAAGAAAAUCGGGAAGUAAUGAACAAGAAGUGAAACGUUUAUCCCCCAAAUGAUCCGGAAUUCACAUAAAAGAAAAACUGGAUAUCGUAGAGAGGAUAGUAAUUCUGGGACUCCCAAUGGAUAACAACAAGCCGAAAUGACUUGAAACCAGCCGAUAUGAAUCCAGGAGAUGAUAAAGGAUACUUUGGGAAAUCUGCCUCCCAUUGAAGGUGGGUUGUUUUUUUUUUCCUCCAACAAUACUCUACAUAACGCGAAUAA